AGUGAGGUGAUUCCAAAUUGGGAAAAGAGUACCUCCAAGCUGUAUAUUGUCACCCUGCUUAUUUAACGUAUAUGCAGAGUACAUCAUUCGAAAUGCUGGGCUGGAUGACUCACAAGCUAGAAUCAAGAUUGCCAGCAGAAAUAUCAACAACCUCAGAUAUG
This is a long non-coding RNA of Cervus elaphus (red deer), 161 nucleotides long. RefSeq lists it as uncharacterized. The record is from RefSeq and is a predicted model, not a curated record. Lineage: Eukaryota; Metazoa; Chordata; Mammalia; Artiodactyla; Cervidae. The transcript has 3 exons.